AUUGAACGCUGGCGGAAUGCUUUACACAUGCAAGUCGAACGGCAGCACGGGAGCUUGCUCCUGGUGGCGAGUGGCGAACGGGUGAGUAAUGCGUCGGAACGUGCCGAGUAAUGGGGGAUAACGCAGCGAAAGUUGUGCUAAUACCGCAUACGCCCUGAGGGGGAAAGUGGGGGAUCGCAAGACCUCACGUUAUUCGAGCGGCCGACGUCUGAUUAGCUAGUUGGUGGGGUAAAGGCCUACCAAGGCGACGAUCAGUAGCGGGUCUGAGAGGAUGAUCCGCCACACUGGGACUGAGACACGGCCCAGACUCCUACGGGAGGCAGCAGUGGGGAAUUUUGGACAAUGGGGGCAACCCUGAUCCAGCCAUUCCGCGUGAGUGAAGAAGGCCUCGGUGUAGAGNUCGUUCUAGCUGGGUGAACGGUA
Molecule: ribosomal RNA, 423 nt
Filed under: uncultured bacterium
Lineage: Bacteria
Description: bacterial SSU rRNA
Rfam family: Bacterial small subunit ribosomal RNA
Source: RNAcentral